This 432-nucleotide ribosomal RNA is filed under the name uncultured haloarchaeon. Its description in RNAcentral is "bacterial SSU rRNA". It matches the Rfam family "Archaeal small subunit ribosomal RNA", at positions 331 to 761 of the family's 1478-position model. The record is from RNAcentral. Lineage: Archaea; Methanobacteriati; Methanobacteriota; Halobacteria; Halobacteriales; Halobacteriaceae.
GGCAGCAGGCGCGAAACCUUUACACUGCACGCCAGUGCGAUAAGGGGAUCCCAAGUGCGUAGGCAUAGAGCCUACGCUUUUGUCCACCCUAGGGGUGGUGGACGAAUAAGGGCUGGGCAAGACCGGUGCCAGCCGCCGCGGUAAUACCGGCAGCCCGAGUGAUGGCCGAUCUUAUUGGGCCUAAAGCGUCCGUAGCUGGCCGCACAAGUCCAUCGGGAAAUCCACCUGCUCAACAGGUGGGCGUCCGGUGGAAACUGUGUGGCUUGGGACCGGAAGGCGCGACGGGUACGUCCGGGGUAGGAGUGAAAUCCCGUAAUCCUGGACGGACCGCCGAUGGCGAAAGCACGUCGCGAAAACGGAUCCGACAGUGAGGGACGAAAGCUAGGGUCUCGAACCGGAUUAGAUACCCGGGUAGUCCUAGCCGUAAACACU